Non-coding RNA from Ciona savignyi (Pacific transparent sea squirt), 113 nucleotides. The record is from Rfam. NCBI's taxonomy places the organism in Eukaryota, Metazoa, Chordata, Ascidiacea, Phlebobranchia, Cionidae.
UCACUCUGGCUUCUCUUCAACGUAUGAUUCUUUCGCCUUUUACUAAAGAAUUCCGUGGAGAGGAGCAGUUCAAUGAGUCUUGAACAUUUUUCGAUCUCCGACUUUGGUCGGUU